Molecule: ribosomal RNA, 453 nt
Filed under: Aleiodes sp. MBUIN688-12
Lineage: Eukaryota; Metazoa; Arthropoda; Insecta; Hymenoptera; Braconidae
Description: LSU rRNA
Source: RNAcentral
CCUGAGAAACCCAAAAGAUCGAAUGGGGAGAUUCAUCGUCAGCUCAUUUUGUAUAUAUAUGAGUUAUGAUGCGGGUUACUACUUGUAGUAUUGCCUGCACAUUCUUAUAUAUUUAAUUGCAAGAUGUUGUCGGCGUGCACUUCUCCCCUAGUAGGACGUCGCGACCUGUUGGGUGUCGGUCUACGACUCAAGUGAUAGACUUUGAUGUGUGUAAUUAAAAAAGCAUAUUAAAGAUCCUUGAUGUUUUCUGACCGGCUACUUGGCAGUAUUCGUACGGUAUUUAGCCGCUAAAUUUUUAAUUAAGCGUUUAUAUCCGUCACAAGCGAGGCUAAUUUACUGAUAGUACGGACCUAGUGCCGUCGUUGGUAUUGGCCAGCUGUUGGUUGUAUGGUAUUCUAUAACUGGCUAAAAUUAAUUACCGGUCGGCGAUGCUACUGCUUUGGGUACUUUCAG